UACAGAGGUCUCAAGCGUUGUUCGGAUUCAUUGGGCGUAAAGGGUGCGUAGGCGGCGCGGUAAGUCGGGUGUGAAAUCUCGGAGCUUAACUCCGAAACUGCAUUCGAUACUGCCGUGCUUGAGGACUGGAGAGGAGACUGGAAUUUACGGUGUAGCGGUGAAAUGCGUAGAUAUCGUAAGGAACGCCAGUGGCGAAAGCGGGUCUCUGGGCCGAUAUCGACGCUGAGGAGCGAAAGCGUGGGGAGCGAACAGG
This 253-nucleotide ribosomal RNA is filed under the name uncultured bacterium. RNAcentral describes it as "partial 16S ribosomal RNA". It matches the Rfam family "Bacterial small subunit ribosomal RNA", at positions 524 to 776 of the family's 1533-position model. The record is from RNAcentral.